RNAcentral lists this ribosomal RNA (786 nucleotides) under uncultured bacterium. Its description in RNAcentral is "SSU rRNA". It matches the Rfam family "Bacterial small subunit ribosomal RNA", at positions 72 to 853 of the family's 1533-position model. The record is from RNAcentral.
AAGGUAGCUUGCUACUGGACCUAGCGGCAGACGGGUGAGUAAUGCUUAGGAAUCUGCCUAUUAGUGGGGGACAACAUUCCGAAAGGAAUGCUAAUACCGCAUACGCCCUACGGGGGAAAGCAGGGGAUCUUCGGACCUUGCGCUAAUAGAUGAGCCUAAGUCGGAUUAGCUAGUUGGUGGGGUAAAGGCCUACCAAGGCGACGAUCUGUAGCGGGUCUGAGAGGAUGAUCCGCCACACUGGGACUGAGACACGGCCCAGACUCCUACGGGAGGCAGCAGUGGGGAAUAUUGGACAAUGGGCGGAAGCCUGAUCCAGCCAUGCCGCGUGUGUGAAGAAGGCCUUUUGGUUGUAAAGCACUUUAAGCGAGGAGGAGGCUCCUUUAGUUAAUACCUAAAGUGAGUGGACGUUACUCGCAGAAUAAGCACCGGCUAACUCUGUGCCAGCAGCCGCGGUAAUACAGAGGGUGCGAGCGUUAAUCGGAUUUACUGGGCGUAAAGCGUGCGUAGGCGGCUUUUUAAGUCGGAUGUGAAAUCCCUGAGCUUAACUUAGGAAUUGCAUUCGAUACUGGAAAGCUAGAGUAUGGGAGAGGAUGGUAGAAUUCCAGGUGUAGCGGUGAAAUGCGUAGAGAUCUGGAGGAAUACCGAUGGCGAAGGCAGCCAUCUGGCCUAAUACUGACGCUGAGGUACGAAAGCAUGGGGAGCAAACAGGAUUAGAUACCCUGGUAGUCCAUGCCGUAAACGAUGUCUACUAGCCGUUGGGGCCUUUGAGGCUUUAGUGGCGCAGCU